AUACCAGCUCUCCGAGUGGUGUGGAUGUUUAUUGGGCCUAAAGCAUCCGUAGCUGGCCAAGUUAGUCCCCUGUUAAAUCCACCGAUUUAAUCGUUGGUGUGCGGGGGAUACUGCUCGGCUAGGGGACGGGAGAGGCAGACGGUAUUUCCGGGGUAGGGGUGAAAUCCUAUAAUCCCGGGAGGACCACCAGUGGCGAAGGCUGUCUGCUAGAACGCGCCCGACGGUGAGGGAUGAAAGCUGGGGGAGCGAACCGGAUUAGAUACCCGGGUAGUCCCAGCUGUAAACGAUGCAGGCUAGGUGUUUGGACGGCCACGUGCCGUUCUAGUGCCGCAGGGAAGCCGUUAAGCCUGCCGCCUGGGGAGUACGUUCGCAAGAAUGAA
This 380-nucleotide ribosomal RNA is filed under the name uncultured archaeon. Its description in RNAcentral is "bacterial SSU rRNA". It matches the Rfam family "Archaeal small subunit ribosomal RNA", at positions 473 to 853 of the family's 1478-position model. The record is from RNAcentral.